This is a long non-coding RNA of Heterocephalus glaber (naked mole-rat), 2775 nucleotides long. The record is from Ensembl. Lineage: Eukaryota; Metazoa; Chordata; Mammalia; Rodentia; Bathyergidae.
CACGUUCUUCUCUAGCAAACUCAGUAAACGGCUUUACGCUGAGAAAUUUCAAACUUAACAAGUAGCACAUGUGCUGUGGCGUGGCUAAGUCUCCCGCAGAGGCCCAUGUGGUAAAGGCUUGGUUUGCCAGCCUAUUGAACUCUUUGGGGAUGGACUCCUUGGGAGGCAGGGCCCUGUGGAAGGACUAAUGCGCUGGGGCGUGCCCUGGAGAGGGAUAUUGAGGCUGUGGCUCUUCCUGUUGCUUUCUGCCUCCUGGCUGCCCUCAGACUGCUGUCCAUGACAUUUUCACAGUGAGUAAAAAAUCCUAGACAAGCAUCGGAAGAUGGAGACUCUGAGGAUGGCUCUGUGACGCGAGUGCCAGCAGUGUGAUUCUGGACCAAGCGCCCCGUGGCCCCGCGCUCCAUUGCUUCCCCCCAAGCUCAGGCGCAAUGUGCAAUCCCAUGGACUGGGACGCGCACUUUCUAAGGGAGGAGUCAAUUAGCCGGACGUAAAUUACUUCUGAGACCCAGGGAGAGGGCUGACAUUAUCCACACCAUUUCCCGGAGGAGGAACUGAAGUGGAGAGAGGUCAAGUGCCUUGACCAAGAUUAUAUAAUGGCCUCGUCAGGAGUAAAGUUUGGGGUUUCUUUUCUGUCUCUGCUUACUGAAAAAAUCGUCCCAAGCUGUCACCUUGCAGAAUGACAGGACGAGAGCACGUGACACGGGCAUGCUCAGGGGCACUGCUGGCCAUGGGAGCUGGACCCCACCACUGGACAGAACACCUCGCAGGAUUCCCGAUCACCCUACCCACACACGUCCCAUGAGGCCCUGGAGAGUCCUGGCGGGGUGCGGGAGACCAGACUCUCAUGUGACGAACUGGCCGGAAGGGGCCUCUCUCUCCUCUUUCCUUCUACUCUCGCUACCCCGAGAGAUUCUCUAUAUGACGAACUAAAAGGGGAAUUGACUCAGAAGUACAAAGGGCUCCGUCUUAUUAUAUGAAGAUUUCUCCAGAGUUUGUUUUCAGAUCAUUAAAUACUCAACAGUGGGAGAAACUAAAAGCGCCAAUGUUCUAAGCCACCCCCUGGCAGAAUAUCAAUCAGAAAUUAAAGUCAGGUGCAUCCUGAAGCAAAGUGACCGAAAAGACACACCUUGCUGCAUGCUGAAUCGUUCUCAGUUUUGUGCAAAGGAGCUGCCUAGCGCAGUGCUGGACCACCGUGACCACAGACGUCAGCCUGCGGUCACCCCGACUUCCUUGGCAGGCUGCACCUGACCGCCCUGCCCCAGGGUGGCCUCCACUGUGGACAGAGGCCUUCCCUAGCACUUCACAGUCUAGUGCCCACGGAACCCUGCCACACACACAGUAGACAGGAGAAUGAAUCAAAUGCAGUUCUGACCCCUUCAGACCACGGGUCCAUUUUGUUUUCCCUUCCUUUCCUCCCCUCUCCUUCUUUUCUUCUCUUUCUCUGUGAACCUUGGGAAGAGGAGCCUGAGGAAGAUGUGCUCCGGAGCAUCUCUCCUGUCUGAGAUGCUCAACUGAAAAUGAGAACCAGCAGGGCCUAUCCUACAAAGAGGCGGUCGGCCACCCCUGGCCUGCUGGGGUUUCCGCAGUCCCUCGGGCCAGUGCCCCCAGAAACCGAAAGGAAAAAUCCUCCCCAUUCAGCCUGGCCUCCUCAGCUUCCCCUCCCAGCCCCAGGCCCAAACACUUCCCCCAAGGUCCAUGACCUUUCUGCUGUCAGAUCCAGCGGAAGCAUCUCUGUAUUCAUCUCAGUACUUUAUCCUCCACCUUUUCCUGGGAGCCAGGGCUUCCAGAAACGGCUGGGCGGUUGGCUUUGGCGAUGGUCCUUCUCCUGCUCUUUGCUUGCCUCCCUGCAGUCCCUUCCCCACUUACCCUGCAGGUUCCAUGGCUGCCCUGACCCUUUAGGGCUCGGCCUCAGGGACUUUCCUUCCCCACAGCCCCUCCUGGGUGUCUCCGUCUGUCCCUGUUGUUCUCCUGCAGCGACAGUCCUCGCCGCUGGCUCUGUGUGGUGUCCCCAACUGCCCGUGACCUCUCUCCUUGGCAGCUCGCUGCACUUGCAGGACGGGCCCACAUGGAAACCUUUCCUCCCUGAGGACGGCUUGGACUCAUCUUGGUUCCUCGCUCCCCCUCACCUCAAGAGCCCUGUGCACCUGCAGUCUUCCGAGUCUUAUCUCCAAAUACAUGCGCAUGCUGCGAACUCAUCUGCACCUUUCUUUUUUUCUGUACUGGGAAUUGAACCCAGGGCCUUUGCACUGAGCUACAUCCCUAGGCCUUUCUUAUUUUACUUUUGAGACAGGGUCUCACUAAGUCACUAAGCUGCCCAGGGUUUGAAUUCGUGAUCCUCUGCCUCAGCCUCCCAGAGUUCUGGGAUUGGGGGUCUGCACCACUGCGCCUGGCUAUCUUCACCUUCACUUUCACUACAGUGGUUCAAGAUACAGGGCAGCCUGUAGGAGGAGGCAACUGGUGUGGGAUGCUCGGGCCAGUCACAGUCAAACAUAGGCCACCGGGUGGACCUCUUUCUACACCCUUGGGGAGACUGCUGACGACAAACAUUUCAAAGAUUAGGGAGCUGAGGCGUAGAUGAAUCGAGUAACUUUCUCGGACUCCUGAGCUGGUGAGAAUGUGGACAACUGCUUAGAUCACUGCAGACUGGAUUCUAGUGCUCACCAACGCUUCCGCACGGCGCACACCCAGGGAAGAAGGAUCAUGCACAGAUGGUGCGCUGGCGUCCACGUGGGGUCCCCUCAGGUCUCACACCCCAGGCCCCUCCCUGAGGCUGAG